This 859-nucleotide ribosomal RNA is filed under the name uncultured Candidatus Saccharibacteria bacterium. RNAcentral describes it as "bacterial SSU rRNA". It matches the Rfam family "Bacterial small subunit ribosomal RNA", at positions 11 to 905 of the family's 1533-position model. Lineage: Bacteria; Candidatus Saccharimonadota. The record is from RNAcentral.
GUUUGAUCCUGGCUCAGGAUGAACGCUGGCGGCGUGCCUAAUACAUGCAAGUCGAGCGGUAAGGCCACUUCGGUGGUACACGAGCGGCGGACGGCUGAGUAACGCGUAGGAACGUACCCCAAACUGAGGGAUAAGCACCAGAAAUGGUGUCUAAUACCGCAUGUGGCCUAAGGGCUAAAGCUUCGGCGGUUUGGGAACGGCCUGCGUCCGAUUAGCUAGAUGGUGAGGUAAUGGCUCACCAUGGCGACGAUCGGUAGCUGGUCUGAGAGGAUGAUCAGCCAGACUGGGACUGAGAACGGCCCAGACUCCUACGGGAGGCAGCAGUAGGGAAUUUUCCACAAUGGGCGAAAGCCUGAUGGAGCAACGCCGCGUGCAGGAUGAAUGCCUUCGGGUUGUAAACUGCUUUUAUCUGUGACGAAUAUGACGGUAGCAGAUGAAUAAGGAUCGGCUAACUCCGUGCCAGCAGCCGCGGUCAUACGGAGGAUCCGAGCGUUAUCCGGAAUUACUGGGCGUAAAGAGUUGCGUAGGUGGCAUUGUGUGUCGGUAGUGAAAGCGUGUGGCUCAACCAUAUAUACAUUAUCGAAACUGCAAGGCUAGAGGACGAGAGAGGUUAUUGGAAUUCCAAGUGUAGGAGUGAAAUCCGUAGAUAUUUGGAGGAACACCGAUGGCGUAGGCAGAUAACUGGCUCGUUCCUGACACUAAGGCACGAAAGCGUGGGGAGCAAACGGGAUUAGAUACCCCGGUAGUCCACGCCGUAAACUAUGGAUGCUAGCUGUAAGAGGUAUCGACCCCUCUUGUAGCGAAGCUAACGCGUUAAGCAUCCCGCCUGUGGAGUACGGUCGCAAGACUAAAACAUAAA